Molecule: transfer-messenger RNA, 352 nt
Filed under: Pseudomonadales bacterium
Lineage: Bacteria; Pseudomonadati; Pseudomonadota; Gammaproteobacteria; Pseudomonadales
Also listed under: 2 other names
Rfam family: transfer-messenger RNA
About the family: Bacterial tmRNA, also known as 10Sa RNA or SsrA, is named for its dual tRNA and mRNA-like properties. Its role is to liberate the mRNA from a stalled ribosome. To accomplish this part of the tmRNA is used as a reading frame that ends in a translation stop signal.
Source: RNAcentral
GGGGGCGAUCCUGGCUUCGACGUCGGUGACGAAACCUAUGGUGCAUGCCGUGUGGGUAGCAACACACGUACUCCAAGUGCUGCAAAAUAUAGUCGCAAACGACGACAACUACGCUCUAGCAGCUUAAGCUAGACCGCUCUGAGAACUUGCUUGUGGGAUCGACUGAGCGGUAAUCGCACACAAGAUCGCGGCAAUGCGCGCCUGGCGCUGCGCCGUUAAAACCUAUACAGGCUGGCCUGUUACGCCCUGCCCGGUUGGGCCGUGGCAGGUGAGAUCAAUAGACCGGACUAAGCAUGUAGAUCCAUAGGCAGAGUGCUGGCGGACGCGGGUUCGAUUCCCGCCGCCUCCACCA